CCAUCCUCGCGCUCCGCCAUGAUGCUUUCUGCCUCAUCCUCGAGCUCGUCGAGUCGGUGGGGGCCACCACUCGAGCGGCCAGCAUCUCCGCAGCAUCCGCAGCAGCAGCAGCAGCAGAGGGUGCUGCAGGGGAAUGCCCAUUUUAUGUCUCUCCUGCAGCGACCUCGAGAGGGUCCUCCGCUGCCCCAGGUGCCCGCGGACAACGCCGUCCCUGCCCCGCGUGUCGCCGCCCCCUUGCCGGCGCAGGAGCAGCAGCAGCCGUUGCCGUCCCACAAGCCAUCCUUCACUGCGGCCGCUGCGGUCCUCUCGCCGAACGCGUUUGUGCAGGCGCCGCCGCAGCUGCAACGUGAACGCGAGCAUCCGCAGCACCGAAGUGUGCCGGCUGAUGGCACCAGCGCAACAGCGACGAGUCGUGGCGGUGGCGGUGACAUCGACGACUCAUCUUCUGCCCCGAGCGAUGCCAGCGUGCCAGCGUCGUGGCCGUGCGAGAGCUCUGCUCUACCGCACCACGAUGAAGACAGCGGCAGGUCUAGCGACGGCACGUACCAGUUCACCACGACCAGCUCCACGAUGACCGGGCGACGCCCGGUUUCACCCGAACACACUACAUCAGUGAGGUCGAGCGAUGAUACGACGUGCUUGGUUGACCUGCGGCGGCGAGAUGCCGCUCAGGUUGAGAAGUGCGACCGUAGGCGUCCAACAGCGCCGGGUGCCGUCGGCGCCAGCGCCGCUGUUGUGUCACCAUCGUUUUCGACGUCGUCGUGCGGGUGCCCAUCGAAUUGCGCGUGCCGAAGCGACGCAUCAGACGACGACGUCUUUGGCGUUUCGGUUGAUGCUCACGGAAGAGCGAGACCGGCGUGGCGUGUGCGCCCUGCAAGUUGGCCACGCGCGGCCAGCGCCGAUGAGCGACUUGACGCGUGCACGGACUGCAGAGAGAGAGCUGCACAGGACAUGACACGCUGCAGUGACGCCUCCUCGGAGACAGGCACGACACCGCUGCGGCGGAGCAGUGAAGAGGACGGCGACGACCUCUGCAGCUCCUGCCGUCAGCACCGCUGUGAUUGCGGCCAUCCUUCCUUUGAGUGGCGCCGAGCUCAGCGCGGCGACGGUGAGUUUUCACUCAAGCUGUCGAGUCAGGGCAGUUCCGAGGGCGACAGCGGGAGUGGCGAAGACGCUUCGCUGUGUAGUCUCUGCAAAGACGCCGCACGCACACGUGCGGUGCACCAGGCCGGUGCUGCCGCAUUCUUUGCUCACCAAGAGGACCCGUUCAGCGAAGCCGUGCGCGAGGAUAGACGGUGCGCGGGGGUGCCCCCGCUCUUACGCCUUUCUACUCCAUCUUCCUCCGCUUCUACCAAGCGCGGCAGCGCGAGCGACGCCGUGACGAUGGCGCAGCGCGAGCGGGCUGAUCGACGAAUGGUAUACAUGCAGAGCGCCGCCGCACUCGCCAGUGACGCAGGCGGUGAGCGCCGUGGUGCGCACGACGCUGCCGUUGCAGCGGUAAGAGGGCUGGAUCGUUGCACGGGCAGCACGCAGACAGACACCGUCGCCGCAGCUGCGGCGACGGCUACUCUAUCAGAGGAGCAGCGCCGCCUCCACGCGGAGCAAGAGGCGGCGGCGCUGAAGAGCAUCGCUGCUGCUCACGUCGCCGAGGUGACACGGCCACUGCUGCAGGGCGAGCUGGCCAGCUUUGAGGCCCGCGCGGCCGUGCAACAGCAGGCGCGCUUCGAUGUAGUGGAAUCGCAGCUGCGGGUGUACCUUGACGAGUUUCGACAGCGCAUGCAGGAGCUGAGUGAUCUCCAGAUGCAGCAGCAUGCUACUCGGCAAGAAGAAGCGGAAGCGGUACGGCGCGCUGCUGCCCGUGUCGACCGUGCCACCUCCCCGAUGGACAGUGCUCUCAUCGCAGAAGCGGCUGCUUCCACCCCGCAAGCUGCUCCGUCGCCCGUGCCACCACAGCGCACCGUCGGGACACAGCACUCGGACGGAACCCUCGAGUUGUUGACAAUCGUGCGCACAGAGGCCGCGUCAUGGAUGGCGCAGCUGCUUUUCUCCAUCGAAGCCGAGCGACGCGAUGCCGUGAUGCAGGACGAGGCCGAGUCUCGCGACCGGCUCCUACACGUUAUGGAAGAGCCUCGCCGGCGUCAGCUGCUGCGCUAUCAAGCGGAACUGCUCCACUGGCAGCAAGAGUGCGCGGCAGUACGUCACCGAGCCUCCUUCGCGUCCGAUUUACUCGCGCUGGAGCUACGUGAGCGGCUUGUGCGGCAAGAGCUGAAUGAGGAGGCGUCCGUGGCGCGGCGCGAGCUCGGCGAAGCCUUUGAGCGGCAACGCUGCCAAGCUGCGGAGGCGGCGGCGCACUCUCAAGUGAAAGCACUCGAGGACGAGCUCGUCAAGGUGCGAUCGAAGUUGUCCAUUGUUGAAGCCGAACACGCUGACACCCUCGAGCACGCGAAGCAGCUUCGCCUGCAGCUUAUCCACGCGUUGCGCAUGCCUACCGUGACGCUCGUCGAUCGCUCGGGCGUGCCUGCAGCAGCUCGUGGCGCUGGUGAUGCCGCCGCCUCCGCUGCGUACGCCUACGCCAACGCGACGGCAGAAACGGGGCCCGGUGACACGUUGGGCAUGCGUGGAGACACCCAAGGCUGUGCUGAUCGCGCUCUGAAGGCUCACGCUGCUUCAUCGACGGGAUCAGGCACCGGCGUGGCCGCGUGGCACACUGUGCCGAGCGGGAUCCACGAAGGACUGGAGGACUUGCCUGUGCAUCGGCGCUUCGCCCGCGCGCAUCAAGAGGCGCUGCGCGUGACUCGGGCACAGUGCCGCACCGUGUGAUGCCUCUCCCGAUGCCCGGAGCGGUUUUGUCGGGUCUUUUUUUUUGCUUUGCGAUCGGCCGUGGCGCUCGCGCGUGUGCCCGGCGGCUGUCGCCUCCUCAUAGAAGAGCACCAUAGACCGUAACGGAGCGGCAGCGUGCCCGUUCUCCUUUUUUUUUUCUCUCCCCGCCGACGGCAUAAAAGUUUACUCGUAACAGACAGCGGCGUUUGCGUGUGCGAGGACGAACGCCGACGUGACCACCGUUCGCAGCAUGAUGGCAUGGGUCACGUGUAGUAUUAGCGUGCGCGGCUCACCCUCUACGCCCUUCGAAGGGGCACGCUCGCUUCGCCGUCCUUCUUGCCGUGCCGCAUCACCCCCUUCGCGUGCUUCGCCGCUGCCGGCGCACGCUCUUCGAAGGCAAACAGGGG
This 3227-nucleotide unclassified non-coding RNA is filed under the name Leishmania donovani. Its description in RNAcentral is "gene:LdHU3.06.0900(CDS-product:hypothetical_prote in_conserved)". Lineage: Eukaryota; Euglenozoa; Kinetoplastea; Trypanosomatida; Trypanosomatidae. The record is from RNAcentral.